AUUGAACGCUGGCGGCAUGCCUUACACAUGCAAGUCGAACGGUAACAGGUCUUCGGAUGCUGACGAGUGGCGAACGGGUGAGUAAUACAUCGGAACGUGCCCGAUCGUGGGGGAUAACGAAGCGAAAGCUUUGCUAAUACCGCAUACGAUCUACGGAUGGAAGCAGGGGACCGCAAGGCCUUGCGCGAACGGAGCGGCCGAUGGCAGAUUAGGUAGUUGGUGGGAUAAAAGCUUACCAAGCCGACGAUCUGUAGCUGGUCUGAGAGGACGACCAGCCACACUGGGACUGAGACACGGCCCAGACUCCUACGGGAGGCAGCAGUGGGGAAUUUUGGACAAUGGGCGAAAGCCUGAUCCAGCCAUGCCGCGUGCAGGAUGAAGGCCUUCGGGUUGUAAACUGCUUUUGUACGGAACGAAAAGACUCUGGUUAAUACCUGGGGUCCAUGACGGUACCGUAAGAAUAAGCACCGGCUAACUACGUG
This 482-nucleotide ribosomal RNA is filed under the name uncultured bacterium. RNAcentral's name for it is "partial 16S ribosomal RNA". It matches the Rfam family "Bacterial small subunit ribosomal RNA", at positions 30 to 507 of the family's 1533-position model. The record is from RNAcentral.